GACGAACGCUGGCGGCGUGCUUAACACAUGCAAGUCGAACGGAAAGGCCCUGCUUUUGUGGGGUGCUCGAGUGGCGAACGGGUGAGUAACACGUGAGUAACCUGCCCUUGACUUUGGGAUAACUUCAGGAAACUGGGGCUAAUACCGGAUAGGAGCUCCUGCUGCAUGGUGGGGGUUGGAAAGUUUCGGCGGUUGGGGAUGGACUCGCGGCUUAUCAGCUUGUUGGUGGGGUAGUGGCUUACCAAGGCUUUGACGGGUAGCCGGCCUGAGAGGGUGACCGGCCACACUGGGACUGAGAUACGGCCCAGACUCCUACGGGAGGCAGCAGUGGGGAAUAUUGCACAAUGGGCGGAAGCCUGAUGCAGCAACGCCGCGUGCGGGAUGACGGCCUUCGGGUUGUAAACCGCUUUCGCCUGGGACGAAGCGUGAGUGACGGUAAUGGGUAAAGAAGCACCGGCUAACUACGUG
Molecule: ribosomal RNA, 468 nt
Filed under: uncultured bacterium
Lineage: Bacteria
Description: partial 16S ribosomal RNA
Rfam family: Bacterial small subunit ribosomal RNA
Source: RNAcentral